UACAGAGGUCUCAAGCGUUGUUCGGAUUCAUUGGGCGUAAAGGGUGCGUAGGCGGACUCUUAAGUCGGUGGUGAAAUCCUGGAGCUCAACUCCAGAACUGCCUUCGAUACUGGGAGUCUCGAGUUCGGGAGAGGUGAGUGGAACUGCGAGUGUAGAGGUGAAAUUCGUAGAUAUUCGCAAGAACACCAGUGGCGAAGGCGGCUCACUGGCCCGAUACUGACGCUGAGGUGCGAAAGCGUGGGGAGCAAACAGG
This 253-nucleotide ribosomal RNA is filed under the name uncultured bacterium. RNAcentral describes it as "partial 16S ribosomal RNA". It matches the Rfam family "Bacterial small subunit ribosomal RNA", at positions 524 to 776 of the family's 1533-position model. The record is from RNAcentral.